This 253-nucleotide ribosomal RNA is filed under the name uncultured bacterium. Its description in RNAcentral is "partial 16S ribosomal RNA". It matches the Rfam family "Bacterial small subunit ribosomal RNA", at positions 524 to 776 of the family's 1533-position model. The record is from RNAcentral.
UACGUAGGGUGCAAGCGUUAAUCGGAAUUACUGGGCGUAAAGCGUGCGCAGGCGGCUUCUCAAGUCAGGGGUGAAAGCCCAGAGCUCAACUCUGGAAUUGCCUUUGAGACUGAGUGGCUUGAGUACGAGAGAGGUGAGUGGAAUUCCCAGUGUAGAGGUGAAAUUCGUAGAUAUUGGGAAGAACACCGGUGGCGAAGGCGGCUCACUGGCCCGGUACUGACGCUGAGGUGCGAAAGCGUGGGGAGCAAACAGG